AAUAACCAAAUAUGAUACUCGGGCUAAGGGUCAAGUUGGUAAUUUUUCUUUACUCUCCCCCUCCCGGAGCCCAGGUAUCAUAUACGCCCCCAAAAUAAAGAGCCUUGAAUACUAGAAGAAAAGCACCUAGACCUAACAAGAUUAAAGUGAAUACCUAAAAAUUUGUGGUCAUUUUAUUUCGAUCUUUCCA
Molecule: non-coding RNA, 190 nt
Organism: Nicotiana attenuata
Lineage: Eukaryota; Viridiplantae; Streptophyta; Magnoliopsida; Solanales; Solanaceae
Source: Rfam